AUUAGGACAUCCUGGUUAUUGUUCUUAUGUGCUUCCAGCCUUUCUGUUUUAAGGAAAAUAAAGGACAAAGACCAUGUCUGAAUCAAAGAUUAAGGAACAUACAUUGUCUCUAGGCAUGUGUUCUGCUGGACCACGCAUGCAAAAAUGUCUGGUUUCCUCUUAUUUGUGACUCAGCACUCUGCGUGUUCGCGUGAAUGUAUGGUUGCGAAUGUGUGUGGCAGCAGGAGGUGGAGGCCACCAAGAUGUCCAUCUGUGGAGAAGAGAUGAGCCCAUGCAACGGAGGCACAGUGACUCAAAGUCUAUAGAAGGGUACCCUUAAGGAUAACACAAUGAGUGAAUGUCAAGCAGCAGCACAUUCUCCACGCUGGUAUUUUUCACAUGUACUUACUAAUAACCCUGUACAUCUGGGUCUGUUGGGAUACACGAUGAUGGAUUUCUGAUCUACUUUGCGUAGGAACCAUAGUGGCAGCUUCUUCUCUAAGCUGGACCUGCCAGAUAUUCUCUCUCAGGGUCCUGGGGAGGAUGGCAAGCAGCCCCCCUUGGUGGAUCUAGCGGGACCCAUUGCCCAUGGCUUCUCUGGGCUCAGGGAGCAUCUCCACCUCCUCUAACUGGCAGGUUUUCCGUGUUGAAGGUAAGAGCACUCUGUGCAUUUCCUUUUGUGAUUUGCGGCCUGGACGUGAACGUCUGUGGAGUGUCUACAGCUGCCAGCCUGUGCUGGACGUGUGGUCACCAAAUGUUAAAAACUAAAC
Molecule: long non-coding RNA, 749 nt
Organism: Lynx canadensis (Canada lynx)
Lineage: Eukaryota; Metazoa; Chordata; Mammalia; Carnivora; Felidae
Exons: 3
Source: RefSeq, a predicted model, not a curated record